UUGCUUGUUGGCUGUGUUGCCUAAUAGAUUGUGAGUUGUGUGGGAGGCAAAUAGAUUGUGAGUUGUGUGGGAGGCAAAUAGAUUGUGAGUUGUGUGGGAGGCAGGAACCCGGGUGGUGUUGGUCACCACAGGAUCCUUGACACACUAGAUACUAAAAAAAUAUGAAUGAAUAGACUCUGACGAAGUCUCCAGUGAGUCCCCUAGUUCUGAGUCCCCCGGGGCUGGCAGCUAUGACAGAAACACAAGUGCUACACUUCAGGUC
This 262-nucleotide long non-coding RNA is filed under the name Homo sapiens (human). Its description in RNAcentral is "non-protein coding lnc-BICRA-2:2". Lineage: Eukaryota; Metazoa; Chordata; Mammalia; Primates; Hominidae. The record is from RNAcentral.